This 576-nucleotide ribosomal RNA is filed under the name uncultured bacterium. Its description in RNAcentral is "bacterial SSU rRNA". It matches the Rfam family "Bacterial small subunit ribosomal RNA", at positions 338 to 916 of the family's 1533-position model. The record is from RNAcentral.
CCUACGGGAGGCAGCAGUAGGGAAUAUUGGACAAUGGGUGCGAGCCUGAUCCAGCCAUGCCGCGUGCAGGAAGAAGGCCUUCUGGGUUGUAAACUGCUUUUGCCGGGGGAUAAAAGACCCAUGCGUGGGGAAUUGAAGGUACCCGGUGAAUAAGCCACGGCUAACUACGUGCCAGCAGCCGCGGUAAUACGUAGGUGGCGAGCGUUGUCCGGAUUUAUUGGGUUUAAAGGGUGCGUAGGCGGCCCCGUAAGUCAGUGGUGAAAUACGGCAGCUCAACUGUCGAGGUGCCAUUGAUACUGCGGGGCUUGAGUACAGUCGAGGUAGGCGGAAUUGACGGUGUAGCGGUGAAAUGCUUAGAUAUCGUCAAGAACACCGAUAGCGAAGGCAGCUUGCUAGGCUGUAACUGACGCUGAGGCACGAAAGUGCGGGGAUCAAACAGGAUUAGAUACCCUGGUAGUCCGCACAGUAAACGAUGGUCACUCGGUGUUGGCGGUACACGGCCAGCGCCUUAGCGAAAGCGUUAAGUGACCCACCUGGGGAGUACGCCCGCAAGGGUGAAACUUAAGGAAUUGACGG